Molecule: long non-coding RNA, 614 nt
Filed under: Mytilus galloprovincialis (Mediterranean mussel)
Lineage: Eukaryota; Metazoa; Mollusca; Bivalvia; Mytilida; Mytilidae
Source: RNAcentral
AAAUUGCAAUACGAAAAUUAAAAUUUAAAACUCAGGAAUUACAGUAUAUUUUGUCAAUGUUUGACUUGUUACCUCGUCCUUUUAUAUAAUCACAACGUGUGUUACAGACGUUCUUUUGUUCUACCAAUACCCAUCAAAGUUGGAAAACCACAAAAUUUCAAAAAUAUUAUUCCUCUCUAGUUUCUUUCUCAUGUAAUGCUAAAUAAGCGUAUUGUGUUAUUGGUUUCUUUUUUUCUAUAUUUUUUUUUAAAGAUUACCUAGAAGUUAACAAAGCAAGCAAACAAUACAAAUUAAAACAGUGCAUAGUUUUGUUUGAAAACCCCUAAAUUACGAAAGCAUAUCGAAUGGCCGGAAAAACUGGUUUUGAUUGAUUUAUUGUUGUUUGCUUUACGCCGCAUUAGCACAAAAAGGCUAUAUCACGGCAAAAAACUGGUUUUGAUAUGAAAGCAUUUGAUAUAAUAGUAUUAACAAAAUUGUCUGCUUUUACGUAUAAUUUUAUUUAUACUACUAAUUUCAACAACAAAAAAUACAGUAUUAAGUUGACGUAAAUCUAAAAGACAAUAUAGAUUUUAACAAUUCUAAAAUUCCAAUCAAUGGUUUACAAAUUAUACACG